GAAGAGAGACCCACCCGGGCACCAAGUCCCUCCUGGUGGCAGGGGGACAGAUGAAAUUCCUCUUUCAAGGUCGCUUCCACUUCCACAUCCCUGGGAGACUCAUUCAAACCUACAAUUAUUUAGUGAGCACAGACUCUGUUCCAGUCAUCUGUUAGGCACUGGGGACACAGCACCGAACAAGGCAGACAACAUUCUUCAUCUCACGGAGCUGACACUCUGGCAGAGGAGACAGAAAAUAAGAAUGGAAAUAGCAGGGCCUAGAGAAGACAGGAGAACCAUCCAAGGCCAAGUUGCAAGUUCCUGCCAGAGCCCCAGUGUCAGGAUCAGGCUCAAGACUGAAAAAAUACUGAACCAUCCCAUUCCCAGGUGACAGGAGAGUCCCUGGUUAAAGAAACCAGGUCCGUGCUUGCAAAGAAAUCUUCAGCAGCUGUUCAAAGGAAGACGGGUCUCCAUGUACUGCAAUUGAGCCCUCUUCAACAUAAACUGUUAAGGGGGAAAAAGAAAGGUUCAGAACAUUAUAUGCUAUCCUGAUUGUUACAAAAGAAACAAAAAGAGGUGGGCAGGGGCUCUGUCUAUAGAGGUGUUGAACUGGGAGUUCCUCCACAAGAGCUUUUAGCAUCCUGAGGCCUGGCAUCCCAGUAUUGGCCCUCCCUUGCUGUGCAAUGAAGAUCAAAGUUUCAACCUCUCUGUGCUCCAGUUUCCUCAACUGUAAAAUUGGACUUGUUGGAAAAAUUAAAUAAAGUCAUCUACACAAGAGGCAUUUCUCAGUGCCUAGGAUGUAGGAAAUGGUCAAUAAGGAACAGCUGUAUAAUAAUUAUUCUGCACAAACUCUCCCUGGAAGAAGGCACAAAAACAUGGAUAAUGGGCUACUACCUCUGCGCACUGGGAAGACUGAAAGACGGG
Long non-coding RNA from Pongo pygmaeus (Bornean orangutan), 903 nucleotides. RefSeq lists it as uncharacterized. The transcript is spliced from 3 exons. The record is from RefSeq and is a predicted model, not a curated record. Lineage: Eukaryota; Metazoa; Chordata; Mammalia; Primates; Hominidae.